Molecule: non-coding RNA, 26 nt
Filed under: Homo sapiens (human)
Lineage: Eukaryota; Metazoa; Chordata; Mammalia; Primates; Hominidae
Source: RNAcentral
UGCAUAACCGGCUGCGAGAAGUGGAG